RNAcentral lists this ribosomal RNA (247 nucleotides) under uncultured bacterium. Its description in RNAcentral is "partial 16S ribosomal RNA". It matches the Rfam family "Bacterial small subunit ribosomal RNA", at positions 523 to 769 of the family's 1533-position model. The record is from RNAcentral.
AUACGUAGGGUCCGAGCGUUGUCCGGAAUCACUGGGCGUAAAGAGCUCGUAGGUGGUUUGUCGCGUUGUUCGUGAAAACUCACAGCUUAACUGUGGGCGUGCGGGCGAUACGGGCAGACUUGAGUACUGCAGGGGAGACUGGAAUUCCUGGUGUAGCGGUGGAAUGCGCAGAUAUCAGGAGGAACACCGGUGGCGAAGGCGGGUCUCUGGGCAGUAACUGACGCUGAGGAGCGAAAGCGUGGGGAGC